This 273-nucleotide ribosomal RNA is filed under the name Triticum aestivum (bread wheat). RNAcentral describes it as "partial small subunit ribosomal RNA". The record is from RNAcentral. Lineage: Eukaryota; Viridiplantae; Streptophyta; Magnoliopsida; Poales; Poaceae.
AUGGUGAUAGUGAAGAAGAACACGAGUGCCCUGUGCUGCUUCGUGGCCACACUCAUGGUGGUCAUGGCUGCCACCCUUCUUCUCUCCUCGUGUGACGCCCGCAAACAGAUAGUUGAGCCGCGUGCUUUUCCCCUGCCGGCUUCGUGCUACUCCAAACACUUCCCGGACUGCACGGACGAGCGAUGCAAGAAGUUCUGCGGCGGCGACGACAUGCCGCCGGUCUCUGCGGCCUUCUGCAAUGACGACAAUAACUGUUGUUGUCCCGUUAUCUAG